AUACCUUUCUCGGCCUUUUGGUUAAGAUCAAGUGUAGUAUCUGUUCUUAUCAGUUCAACAAAAUCAUCUUUUGCUAGAGAGUUCAUAAUAUCCUCACUGCUUGCACUAACUUUUGAAUCUACAUCAGAAUCGUAACCUGCAGCAUGUUUCUUUAAUUUUUCAUUAUUUCCCAUGAAACAGUAUUGCUGUGAUGACAACAC
Benincasa hispida (wax gourd) is the source of this 200-nucleotide small nuclear RNA. RefSeq annotates it as U2 spliceosomal RNA. Lineage: Eukaryota; Viridiplantae; Streptophyta; Magnoliopsida; Cucurbitales; Cucurbitaceae. The record is from RefSeq and is a predicted model, not a curated record.